This 397-nucleotide ribosomal RNA is filed under the name uncultured bacterium. RNAcentral's name for it is "partial 16S ribosomal RNA". It matches the Rfam family "Bacterial small subunit ribosomal RNA", at positions 523 to 918 of the family's 1533-position model. The record is from RNAcentral.
AUACGUAGGGGGCGCGCGUUGUCCGGAAUGAUUGGGCGUAAAGGGCGCGUAGGCGGCGCGGUAAGUCUGGAGUGAAAGUCCUGCUUUCAAGGUGGGAAUUGCUUUGGAUACUGCCGCGCUUGAGUGCAGGAGAGGAUAUCGGAAUUCCCGGUGUAGCGGUGAAAUGCGUAGAGAUCGGGAGGAACACCAGCGGCGAAGGCGGGUAACUGGACUGCAACUGACGCUGAGGCGCGAAAGUGUGGGGAGCAAACAGGAUUAGAUACCCUGGUAGUCCACACUGUAAACGAUGAAUGCUAGGUGUAAGAGGUAUCGACCCCUUUUGUGCCGGAGUCAACACAAUAAGCAUUCCGCCUGGGGAGUACGGCCGCAAGGUUGAAACUUAAAGGAAUUGGCGGGG